GUAUGCUUAUAAUACGUAAGACCUGCUCAAUGAUAUUUUAAAUAGCCGCAGUACAAUGUGCCAAGGUAGCAUAAUAACUUGCCUUAUAAUUAAAGGCUAGAAUGAAUGGUCAAACAUAUAAAUUUCUUUAUUAAUAAGGAUUCUUUAAUUUUUCAUAUAAGUAAAAAGACUUAUAUUGCCAAGAGGGACGACAAGACCCUGUCGAGCUUAACUUUAGUUUUACUGGGGUGGUAAAAAACAAAUUCUUUAUUAUGUAUAUCCUAUAUCAUCCUUUUUUUAAGAAUAAAAUAAGUUACCGCAGGGAUAACAGCAUAAUUUUUUUUAUAAGACCUUAUUUUAAAAAAAGAUUGUGACCUCGAUGUUGAAUUAUUUAUCUUUUAGGAGCAGAACCUUAAAAAGAAAGUCUGUUCGACUUUUAAAAAUUUACAUGAUUUGAGUUCAGACCGGCGUAAGCCAGGUCGGUUUCUAUCUUCUUUUAUUAAUUUUUAGUACGAAAGGACCAAAAUUAAAGCUUGAAGCUUUACUUUUAGCAAAAA
This 536-nucleotide ribosomal RNA is filed under the name Cyrtocarenum cunicularium. Its description in RNAcentral is "partial 16S ribosomal RNA". It matches the Rfam family "Bacterial large subunit ribosomal RNA", at positions 1837 to 2735 of the family's 2925-position model. The record is from RNAcentral. Lineage: Eukaryota; Metazoa; Arthropoda; Arachnida; Araneae; Ctenizidae.